RNAcentral lists this ribosomal RNA (443 nucleotides) under uncultured bacterium. RNAcentral describes it as "partial 16S ribosomal RNA". It matches the Rfam family "Bacterial small subunit ribosomal RNA", at positions 338 to 795 of the family's 1533-position model. The record is from RNAcentral.
CCUACGGGAGGCAGCAGUGGGGAAUAUUGGACAAUGGGGGGAACCCUGAUCCAGCGACGCCGCGUGAGUGAAGAAGUAUUUCGGUAUGUAAAGCUCUAUCAGCAGGGAAGAAAGAAAUGACGGUACCUGACUAAGAAGCCCCGGCUAACUACGUGCCAGCAGCCGCGGUAAGACGUAGGGGGCAAGCGUGAUCCGGAUUUACUGGGUGUAAAGGGAGCGUAGACGGCGAUGCAAGUCUGAAGUGAAAGGCGGGGGCCCAACCCCCGGACUGCUUUGGAAACUGUAUGGCUGGAGUGCAGGAGAGGUAAGUGGAAUUCGUAGUGUAGCGGUGAAAUGCGUAGAUAUUAGGCGGAACACCAGUGGCGAAGGCGGCUUACUGGACUGUAACUGACGUUGAGGCUCGAAAGCGUGGGGAGCAAACAGGAUUAGAUACCCGUGUAGUC